RNAcentral lists this unclassified non-coding RNA (336 nucleotides) under soil metagenome. RNAcentral's name for it is "partial contains 5.8S ribosomal RNA, internal transcribed spacer 2, and large subunit ribosomal RNA". The stretch from base 1 to 120 matches the Rfam family "5.8S ribosomal RNA", at positions 35 to 154 of the family's 154-position model. The record is from RNAcentral.
GAUGAAGAACGUAGCGAAAUGCGAUAAGUAGUGUGAAUUGCAGAAUUCAGUGAAUCAUCGAAUGUUUGAACGCACAUUGCGCCCCUUGGUAUUCCAUGGGGCAUGCCUGUUCGAGCGUCAUUUGUACCUUCAAGCUUUGCUUGGUGUUGGGUGUUUGUCUCGCCUUUGCGUGUAGACUCGCCUUAAAAUAAUUGGCAGCCGGCGUAUUGAUUUCGGAGCGCAGUACAUCUCGCGCUUUGCACUCAUAACGACAGCGUCCAAAAGUACAUUUUACACUCUUGACCUCGGAUCAGGUAGGGAUACCCGCUGAACUUAAGCAUAUCAAUAAGCGGAGGA